GGGCCAGUAGCUCAGUUGGUUAGAGCACCGGGCUCAUAACCCGGCGGUCGUCGGUUCAAAUCCGACCUGGCCCA
This 74-nucleotide transfer RNA is filed under the name Methanobacteriota archaeon. RNAcentral's name for it is "Euryarchaeota archaeon tRNA-Met". It matches the Rfam family "tRNA". Rfam says of the family: Transfer RNA (tRNA) molecules are approximately 80 nucleotides in length. Lineage: Archaea; Methanobacteriati; Methanobacteriota. The record is from RNAcentral.